This 253-nucleotide ribosomal RNA is filed under the name uncultured bacterium. RNAcentral's name for it is "partial 16S ribosomal RNA". It matches the Rfam family "Bacterial small subunit ribosomal RNA", at positions 524 to 776 of the family's 1533-position model. The record is from RNAcentral.
UACGUAGGGGGCAAGCGUUAUCCGGAUUCACUGGGUGUAAAGGGAGCGUAGACGGCGACGCAAGUCUGGAGUGAAAGCCCGGGGCCCAACCCCGGGACUGCUCUGGAAACUGCGGCGCUGGAGUACGGGAGGGGCAGGCGGAAUUCCUGGUGUAGCGGUGAAAUGCGUAGAUAUCAGGAGGAACACCGGCGGCGAAAGCGGCUCUCUGGUCUGUAACUGACGCUGAGGCUCGAAAGCGUGGGUAGCGAACAGG